Heterocephalus glaber (naked mole-rat) is the source of this 343-nucleotide long non-coding RNA. Lineage: Eukaryota; Metazoa; Chordata; Mammalia; Rodentia; Bathyergidae. The record is from Ensembl.
UAGCUCAGUGGUUCCGCCACCUGCCUCAAAAGCGCAAGGUCCCAAGUUCAGUCCCUGGUACCAGAAAGAAAAAGAACUCACAGAGAGGCUGCAGUGGUUCUGAGGGGCAGGUUGGGUCUCCCUGCUCUCCAGCCAAUAACGCAGAGACACAUUUUGAAUCUGCCAGGCAUUGAGUCUGUGUGAUUCCAGGAGCUGCAGGAUAUCACCACGCUGAAGCAGGAACAGACCCAGGGCAGCCCACUUACCUGAAGAGGCACUCUGUCCUUCAACUUUCAAGCUUCCUGCCCUCAAAGAUAUACAAGAUGAUUUUUCCAGAUCAUUAUUUGUUCAAUAUUGGUUUGGG